Lycium ferocissimum is the source of this 2972-nucleotide long non-coding RNA. RefSeq lists it as uncharacterized. The record is from RefSeq and is a predicted model, not a curated record. The transcript is spliced from 2 exons. NCBI's taxonomy places the organism in Eukaryota, Viridiplantae, Streptophyta, Magnoliopsida, Solanales, Solanaceae.
GUGUGAAUAACAAAGCAUGAGUCAAUGUUUCUUUAAUUUUGUGGUUAAGCAUAAGUAAUUCAAAGUUCUAUAGGGUAGCAAUCCCUUCCCCUACUGUUUGCUCAUGUACAGACUUUUGAGGCUGUUGUUUAUGAUAAAUGGGGUGUCAUAUUAUUUUUUCAGUAGGCAUGAUAGCAUGUUUAGAUGUUGACAGUGUAGCUAAAUGAAAGUCAUGAAAUCUCAACACAAGCUCUCAUUUAAUAUUAACCAUCUCUCAUGUCCCAAAGUGUGUUAAGUAAACUAGUGCCAAAUAAUGAAUUGAGUAGCUUUCCUUUGGGUUUGUUUGAGUCUCAUCAUCAGUCCUGUAGGAUGGAAUCUUUGAUAUAUUUUUAGUUCAGUUGAGCCUUAAUGUAUUUCAUCUUCUACAUAACCUGUCUUCAAGUUUUGAGGUAGUUCUCCACCAUUUUGAACUUAACAAAUCCUUAAAGAAUGUUGUAACCCCUUUUGUUUAGUUUCUGCCACUAUUUGAGGAAUACUUAUGUGCUUUUUCUUCCCAAUUUGUUCUUAUGUGAUAUUGCAUGCCUAUCUCUGAUUGAGAUGGUUCCAUUUAGGAAAGCGUGCACCUUUUAAGUUACCAAAGCAUUUUACCCAGUUGUUUUGACCUUAGAAUAGGAAAAGUGUUAAAUAAAACAGAGGGUGUCCAUGUGAACUUGUGUCAAGAAUCUGCUGUUCUGUUUGUGCUGGAUAAAUGAAGAAGUGGCUUUAACUUAUUGUGUCUUUUCUUGCUUUCAUCACCUAUCUAAAUGUGCUUAAAAUCUGUAAUAUCCUUAACAUGUUAGAACUAUGUAAUGAGCUUGUUAAACCAAAAGUAGGAGAAGAGUUAAGACAUAGCUAGUGUGCAGAAUUAUUAACUUGUUCGAAACCGGAAAGUAUCCAAACUUGCUGUUUUGAUUCCUUAAAAUUUAGUCUUUAAGCUUACCUUUUCUCUUAAAAAGCACUGAGUUGUUUUCUCUAUCUGUACUCCCUGAUGAUUACCGAAAAUGAUUGUCUGUUAAGUACUCUUUCAAGUUAGUAGCCUGUCAGAACGUGUAGUUUCUUGUUACUCAUUCUUCACCUUUUCCUUUCUUUGCAUGAUUUGGGAGUUGCAAAUCCCAACUGUCUUCGAGGCAUUUUCAUGAACUGGCUGCUGCAUUUGCAAAAGCUGCUGUUUGUAUUGUGAAGUCCUUUUUUGGGAUUAAAUUGAUGUUGCUGCCACUGAUGCAUUUUGAGACUCGUGUUGCUGCACUCUUGAGGGGUUUUCAAAGUGCUUUACUUUGAUAAAAGGAGUUGCUACCUUGCUAUUGUGUUUGCUGCUUUGCUAAUGCAUUUUUAAGCUAAUACAUUUUUAAGAACUGAUUGUGCUGAAUAAAUGGCAAAACUGUUGGCACAUUAAAGUCUGUCUAUUCCCUAAGUGUUUGAUCAAGAUAGGGAUUUUUGAAAUGGGGAAUAUGUAGUCCUUCAUGGUCUAACCUUUGUUUCUGAAAACAUGUAGAAGGAUUAUCAUUUUCCUUGUCUCUGAACUGUCUUAUAAAAAAUACUGAAAAAAUAAAGGGUGAUUUGAGUCUGCAUGGUUGGGACAAUAGGUGCAAGUGUUGUGUGUUUGAUUUUUUGGGGUUUCUCUGAGAGUUCCUUAAAGGCUAUGGGCUUAUAGAGUUAAGAAUCUGAUUUGGUUAUUUCCUUGGAGGUAACAAGAUUUGGUAUAAGCAUUUUCCUUUUGCAUUUAGUAAACAAAUUUAAAAGCUCUCCUAGUUGCAGAAGACCAAUUGUGUUUGUAUAAUUUCACCUUGAAUGUUGGUAGAAACUGUUAGCAUGGGGCUUGAAAGGAUAAAACAUAUAUCUUGUUCAAAAGUUUGUUUCUCUAAGAAACUGCCUCUUUGUGUGUUUACUUGUGAUGAUAUCCAAGUCCUGAUCAAAGUAGGUCUGCAUUGUCUUUCUUACUCAAAACCUCUUUCCAUCACCCUGCCUGCUGAAAGCCAAGGCAACAGAGGGAUUGGUUUAGCCUCCUCCGAUAUCCUGCCAUGCCAAGGUUCUAACCUUUGGAUCUUGUUGUGGCAUUGGAAAUAGAUGGUGGUGGCCCCCCUUUGUUGUCUUAUCUUUCAAAGUUGAUGUUAGGCUUAAUGUUUAUGAUCAGUUUUUAUGCUUGCUUUCUCUUAAAAGUACUGAGUUGCUUGGUAUCUUUACUGCCUGUUGACUACUACAAACGAUUUAAUACUAAGUGUUCUUUUAAGUUGAUUAGCCUGCAUGCAUAUAUAGUUCUUGAUGCUCAUCCUUUGCCCCUCCCUUUUCUUUGCAUGACAUGGGGGAGUUUACAUCCCAAACUUCUUGACUUGCUUGGCUGCAAUGCUUGAUGAGCUUACUGCCCUGGCUUGUGGAUUGUUGCUGAAUUAAAAUGAACAGAUAUCACUACUUGAAUUGCUGUCUUAAAACAGUUGCUGCAUUUGAGACAUAUUUGAUAUUUUGAAGUUAGAAUGCUCGGCAAGCGAAAAACGAGGAAAUCAAGUGUUCUGAUCUGAAUUGCACAAAGGACGGACCGUCAACAUGCUCGACGGUCCGUCAAGUUAUCUCGUCGAUCAAGUUCCUGCAGAGUGAAAUAUGUCAUCAGACCGUCGACUUGCACCGUCGACAUGAUCGACGGUCCGUCGAAGUGCCUCGACUAUGGGAGUCCUGCAAAUUGAAAAGUUGUCAUCAGAUACUUGCACGUCGACAUGUCGACGACCGUCAAAGUGCAAUGACGACCCGUCAAAGUGCAAGCCGACCUGGAGCAGGAUUGAGAUUGAUUAUUCUGAGUUUUAACUUGUAUAAAUACCAGCUUAGGUUUUAUUUUUCAGACAUCUGGAGUUUUAGACUUGUAGUAACUACUUUUGAGUUGUUAUUACUUUUGAAGAUUUUCCAGACAAAUACAUUCAUUACUUUCAAGUUUAUUCGUAAGUUCAAUACAAAAUUCAAUUAUGCAA